RNAcentral lists this long non-coding RNA (7631 nucleotides) under Malus domestica (apple). Its description in RNAcentral is "long non-coding RNA (MDOM_LNC010038)". The record is from RNAcentral. Lineage: Eukaryota; Viridiplantae; Streptophyta; Magnoliopsida; Rosales; Rosaceae.
UUAUUCGUAAACAAAUUAAUUAAGAUUAGAAGUAUGAUCUAAACUUGCUGUAAACAAGUCAGGUCUAAGAACCUAUACAUGAAUAAACAAGACAUAUGGACUUUUGGCAAAACCCAACUUUUUAUUCUAAUUUCAAUUAUGGGCUUUUGGCAGAAUCAUCAACGAAAUACGAAUUGGCUUGAAAUUAUGAGAUGAUUGUAAAUAUAAGAUGUUAAAAGAAUUCACUCAUGUAUCUUAUAUGUAGUUUUGAUUUUCCUGCCGCAACAUCGAUUGUAUUUAAAAAUAAAUAAAAAUAAAAUGCAUGCACAAGAACGUGAUCCGAAUAAUCUUACAGGUUCAGCGAGGGGAGUCGUGAUGAACCAAGGUGCCACACUGUUGGUCCUUAUGUUAUCCUUCGCCCACUCACAUGCUAAGUUUUUUGCUAACUGAUUCAUUGCACCUGAGAUACAGUAAAGAAAAGCCACACUUUGGUCUAACAUUAAAAAUCACACACCAAAAACAGCGUAAUCAAAUUUUAGGUUAGUCUAAAAGUGAUAUAAACAAUAUAUGAUACUUUUAAAUUUUUUAAUCUGAUGUAAGGUGUUAGUCUAAAAGUGAUAUAUUUUUUUCAAAGAAUUGAAUGAAUUUUUAACUAAUUAUAAACAAUAUAUGAUACUUUUCAAUUUUUAAUAAAAGUCGGAAAUCUAUAUAAGGAUUAACUAUAAGCACCUUUAGUGGCAGAAUAUAUAGAUUCACCAUCUAUUGAGACCACACCAGCAGUAGAGGACAAAAAAACAAUGCUAGCAGCUCCUGCAGCUUUGAGAAGAGGAUGUGAAAGCUGGCAAAAGUUGUAAGCAGAUUCAAGAUUGGUACUCAUUAUGAAUGAGUAAUCUUCAGCUGUGUACUCUAGCGUUGCUUUCGUCAAGCUAGUCCCCACAUUGUUUAUCUAUAACAAGACAUUAUUGUAAAGGUUUAGCAUAACAUAACGAUUUUAGCUUAUAUGUAUUAUUGAAAAAUGCAUGAAAAUUAUGUGUAUUAAACGUAAAAAGUACAUAUAUACGUGUACACAUUUUUGAGUUUUAAAAAACUUACAAUCUUACAAAUUAUUGAAUUUUGAAAUGUGUACAACAGAGUUAUUUACGAGAGGAUGUUUAGUUUGUCUUGAAAGUGUGAUGAUGAUUCAUGAUUCAUCCACAUAUCUUAUUUCGUCCUGGUUUGGUACUGAGGUGAUUCUGAAAAAAGUAGAUAUCAAAAAAAGUUCCCAGCUUUUUUAUGUUUGGUAAACAUUCAGCUUCAACUUUUUUUCACAGUUUUGGGUGAAAAAAAACCAAAAACACAAAGCUGCAAAACCUAGCUUUGAAAAACCAGUUUUUUUUUCACAUCUGUUUUACAUAAAAGUUUAUCAAACACUAUAAUAUUGUUUUUUUUUUUAAAAGUACUUUUACAAAAAAGUUUACCAAACACUCUACUGCUUUAUUUUACAGUUGCUUAUUCUCACAGCAUAGCAGAAACAAUUUUUUUCAAAACACAACAAUACCAAACCAGCCCUUCAACUGAUCAAUCUUUACUUACAAGGAUGUUGAGUUUGCCAUCAAAAAGUGAUGAGACCUUGUUUAUAAGCUCCUCUCUUUGGGUUUUUGACACCACAUCACAGACUGAGCCUGUGACUUGAAAACCCUUCUUCUCCCACUGACUCUGGCAGUCAUUAAGGUCAACUUCUUUCGGGAACAAGUAUGCACAAUUGCACCCAGCCCUGCCAAUUCCUCCACUAUCGCAUACCUAAAUAAAACUUUACUAAUUUAACAUAGAGCAAUACAAAAUAAUUCAAACCCAUAAUUCUAAAACAGAAGAAAACAUGGGACAAGUGGAGAAAUAAAGAGAAUAUUGCAUUGGAUGUAUAGGAAAAUUGAAACUAAAAGAAGAUUAAUGUUCUUAAGUAUCCAAAUAUAGAAGCUAACCCAAUUCCUUUGGUUCCACCGGUGACAAGAGCUGUCAUUCCACGAAGAGACCAUCUCCUCUCUCUGCUAUUCAUCUCUAUCUGCUCUCUAAUCUAUCUUUAUGCAAAUACUUUGUGGUUUUUAUUAUAUUUCUUUUCGAUAGGAUAACUAUUGUAUAUUUUGGCGGCCAGGGAAAAGUACGCGUGCCAUCUAUUCAUUCAGCAACUUGCAACAUUUUGUUUGCUUGUUUUGGCGUGGCAAACUAUGCAAAUUGAUUGUCCAAUUUGAAUUUGACUAAAUUAUAUUUCAUCCAAUUUCAACAUCGUUCAAUGACUUUCUAUUUCAUACAACUUUCGAUUCAAUCGUUCAAUAGUUCAGUACGAAUUCUAAACUCGUAUUCUAUAAAGCUCGUUUUGAAAACUUGAUUCGUGACACUAAUGAAUUAUACACUAUAAAGAAUCAAAGUUUAAAGAACACUAUUUCAACAAACUUUUGGAACUAGAAAGCAAAGAUACUUUUGGAGCUAGAAAACAAAAGGAAGGUAUUACGGUUCGUCCUGAACGAGAUCGAUGUCUUUUUGGUUAAUUUUUCAGCAAAUAGACAUAUCAUUGAGAGUAUUGUUUAUAGGCAUACAAUUCUUCUUGCUCCACAUUUUUUAAGGUUAAAUUACAUUUUACCCCAUCAAGUAUGGUAUAAAUUACAACCUUAUACAACAUCUUUAAAACAUUUCAAUUUCAUACAUUUAAUUAUAUUUUAUUUUCAGUUUUAUACAUCCGUUAAAAUAUCUGUUAAGUCAACCGUUACAUGAUAAUGUGGUAAAUGAUGACAUGAUUCUCAACUUUGCACCAUGUGAAUAAGAAAAUAAUAAAAAAGGAUUAUUUAAUAAAAAAUCAAUUUAUAUUAUAAUUAAAAACAAACAAAAAUUGAAAAGGGCAUCUGGGCAAUCACCCUCUUCCUCCUCCAGCACCACCACCAACGCACCUACGAAACCCUAGCCGUAAAGAGAAACGCGCACAGCUUCCAUCUCUCUAUCGGCAUAGCCCCAUGUACGAUCAGCCAUGGGCAAAUUUCACGGAUCGUUCGCACAUGCCCUUAUCCAUUCACGCAAGGACCUGCAACCAGAUAUCGACCCGCUACUGAAACCCAGACCAUAAAUCUGAUUGAAGCCCAAACCACUGCCGCACCUGAUCGAUUCUGAACCACGAAUCUGUUCUGAACCACCGCUACGAUAUUAGACCCGAUGAACCACAAAGAGCUGCCAUUUGAUUGUCGCGAUGACCUCUGCCGCAAUCUGUUUGAACCACCGCACCGCGCCCAGACCCCUGCAUCCACAAGCCCGACCUGCUUGCCUCGAGCAGAUGUAACCAAAAAAGCCGGUACCCUUACCAUAUUUGUACUGCACCUGCAUCCACUAGCACCGUCUAGCGCCUGUAUCAAGCCAAAUCCUCAUUUAUUUUCUAUUUUCGUGGUGAAAGGGGGCUUCAAGCCCAGAUCCUAUUUCGUCAAUUUUAAAUGGAGUUGAAAUGAAAUUUUCAAAAUCUUUACAAUUUUUUAAAUUUGCAAAUCAAAGGAAUUCAUAAAAUGAACACAAUUUCAUCAAUUUGGAGCUUUUGAAGUUGUUAAGGGUUGAAGAGGAGGAGGAAAACGAGUUUGGAGAAAGAAAGGCGGCGAGGUUGCUCGAGAAGAUGUAGGGUGGGGUGGGGGGGGAGGUUGCGGGGGAGGUGGGGGGUGGGGCGGGAAGGGUGGGUUUGGGUUGCGGGGAAGGGGAAGGGGGGCGGUUGCGGGUGGUUUUUUUGGAUGGGAGGGUAGGUGAAGAGAGUCGAGGAGAGGAAGAAGGUAGGUGGGGAAGAUGGGUUUCAGUUUUUUUUUUAUUUUUUAAGUGUAAAUUAUUAUAUUUUAAAUGCAUAAAAAAUUAAUUUGUUUGUCAUGGCAUAAAUUUAGCAAUCAUGUCAGCAUAAAUGUAGAUCUCAUAUUUGUCACGUCAUCAUUUAAUUGUAUAUAUGAAAUUGAUAUAAAAUGAUAAGUAGAUGCAUGAAAUUAAAAUGUUUGUAAGAUAACAAUAUAUAUGAAAUUGAAAUAAAAUGAUAAGUAAAUGUAUGAAAUUAAAAUAUUUUAAAAAUAUUGUAAGAAGUUACAAUCGAUCUCAAACUUAAAGAGAUAAAAUGUAAUUUUUUUUUUUAAUGCAAUCUUGUUAAGGGUCACAGAAUGAGUUAAAUAUUCCCACGACUAUACGUAAGAAUCUCGGUCUGAUGGGAUGAAAAUAUGGCUCCCUUUGAAAGUAUUUUUUUUUUUUUUUUACAUUGCGUAGCAUGUUUGUCUUCCGCAAAACACUUCCAAGUAUCUUUUAAACCAAAAACAUUUUAAACUAUUUUUACUUAACAUUAUCAUGUCUCUGCAAUUGCUUUAGUUAUUUAAACAGCAUUUCGAAUUGGAAACAGGCUCUACAACAAGCUAGACAUAUGAAGUUCUGAGAAUAGUUGAUAAGCAAGUUGUCCAAACCAUAUUUAUGUAAUCUUUGGAGGGUUCAGUUUAAAGCAUUUUUCUGACAUCUAUCAUCUAAGUUCACCUCACCACUUAAAUUAAUUAUUUUUUAAUUUUUAAUUGAACGAAAAGUAAAAAAGGGGCAUAUUACAUGAAACGUAAUAAGAUUCCUAUCUAAUUUUUUUUCCAAGAACCAAAAAAAAAAUUACUUGUAUCGUUGAGCAUUGAUAGAGAUAUGCCGUCCAGUAAUCCAGAAAAUUAAUUUUAUGAUCAGCCAUGUAAGGAAAACGAUGAUGUGCAAUGCUUCUUGAGGAGUUUUGUUGCUUCUCAAUAAAAUCUAUUUAUUUGAAUUUCCUGCUUCUACUACUACCUAUUGCUUGAAGUUUGCAUAGAUUAUAGAAGCAUUUUUUAUUGUUCUAAUCAUACAUGUCGAUCAUUUCCAAUUAACUGGCGAUCUUGGUGGUGUUGUUUGGAGGAUGUCGCAAUCUUCUCUCCAUCCAGUUUGGGGGUUGUGUUUAGCCGAUCUCAGGCGUCUGUUGGGAACGAUGGUUUGAGAUGGUGGGUUGGUGGCGUUUUGGCAGUGGAGUAGCAAGUUGCUAGGAUUUGUUGCGGUUUUUUUGUGCUCAAACCUUUGUUUUGGGCCAUUUUUGCUUUUACUUUGAAGGUUGAGUUGAAUAUCAGAGUGCGCAACGAACAAGACUAACAAGAAUAAUAAGAAUAUUAUUAAACUAACUGAUAAUGCCGGAACGGCUACAAAACCCUAAGAGACUAAUAACUUGUUAUUUCUAUAGAGUUACAAAGUACCAUAUAUAUAGAAAAGUAAUCUAACCCUAAUAGACAAGAAAACGAAACCCUAAUUCUAACGGGCUAAGCCCAAAAUACCAAACAUUAAAAUAAAUCUAAAUAAUAAUAUUUUCCAAGACCCCCGUCAAACUCAUGGCGGUACACGACAUGAGUUUGCUAAAAUAGAUGUGGAUGCAAGACUUCAAAUUCCAGUGCUAAUGCCGAUGUCGAUGGCAAUGCUAAUGUCGAUGUCGAUGCCGAUUUCCAAUGCCAAAUUCCAAUACCAUGCCCAAUGCCAAGUUCCAAUACCAUACCCAAUGCAAGAAUACACGGGCAACAAAACCUCAAAACAACCAAAUUUUUUUUUCCUUCCUUCUCCCCCCCCCCCCUUUUUGUUUUCCUUCCUUCGUCCUUCCUUUUUUUUCUUAUGUGCGAACCAACCAGCAACAUCAGCCUUUCUUUUUUUUUUUUUUCACAGGUGUACGGUUGUGGACGGAUCCAGAUGCAAGGUGGGGCUGGGGAAUGCAGAAAUCCUAGUGCGAUGAAGCAUUUUCAAAUUUGGGUGUGAGACAAAUUCACCAAAUUCUUUUUUUUUUCAAAAACAGAAUUUUUUUUCCUUUCUUGAAGACUACCAAGGACAAACUGAAAACCAAACCAGAAAACGUAAAAAAUCUACGAAUGGAAACUGGAAAGAAAUAAAACUGAUACGAACAAACAGAAGUAGAUUAGAUCCCGAAGAAUCAAACAUGCUCUAAAACCAAGUUGAAUAUCAGAGUGCAACAAGACUAACAAGAAUAAUAGGAAUAUUAUUAAAUUAACUGAGAAUGCAGGAACGGCUACAAAACCUAAGAGACUACAUUGUGAAUAAUUUGUUAUUUCUAUAGUGUUACAAAAUACCAUAUAUAUAGAAAAGUAAUCUAACCCUAAUAGGCAAGGAAACGAAACCCUAAUACUAACGGGUUAAGCUCAAAAUAUCAAAUAUUAAAAUAAAUCUAAAUAAUAAUAUUUUCCAACCGGUUCAUAUUUGCGUUGUGUGCUUAUUGUAAUUGAAUUUCUUUCUUUGUAAUUUUGUUGUCUUGGUAAAAAUUUUACUCUAAAAAAAAUCGAGGCUUGAAAGCUCUUCCAAUAGAGCGCUACUAAAUGUCAAUAGACCAAAUGUUUGGCAAUCUUUUAUUUUCUUAUUUAAUUAGAACAUUAAUGAUGUCACCUAUUUGCACAUACAAUAAAAGCACACCACUUUGGAAUUAUUAAAUACGAGAUUUUUUUUUAGAACUGUUUCCAAGUUAUGCUCCUUGGAAGAGCAAGCCAUUGACGGUCACCCCGCCGUCGACGAUAAUAGUCUGCCCAGUAAUGUAAGAGGCUGCAGGUAGGCAUAGAAAUGCUACCAAGGAAGACACCUCCUCUGGCUCUCCAGGACGUCCUAAAGGGCACCGAGAGUUUAUCAUCUCCAAUUUCUUUUCAUUUCGGAGAAUCUGCAUGCAUAGAAGAGAUAAUGGAUGAAAAGAGAAUGGAUGUGUAGGACACAUAUAUUAGCGACCAUCUUAGUAAUUGGUCAAGCCCUUCGUAAACAAAUUAAUUAAGACUAGAAGUAUCAUCUAAACUUGCUGUAAACUUUUCACCCAGAAACUUGCUGUAAACAUGUCAGGUCUAAGAACCUAUACAUGAAUAAAAACAAAAGACAUAUGGACUUUUGGCAAAACCCAACUUUUUAUUCCAAUUUCGACUAUGGACUUUUAGCAGACUAAUAAAUGAAAUACGGAUUGGCCUGAAGUUAUGAGAUGAUUGUAAUAUGAUGUGUGAUAUUCACAUACUUUUUUUUACUUCUUACACAUCAUUUUAAUUUGCGACCGUCGAAUCGGAUAAAUUAAAAAAAGAUUAAAGAACAUAAAUCCAUAAGAGGUGUGUUGAUAGCACACCCCUUGUAAUAUAAGAAGUUCAAAGAAUUCACUCAUGUAUCUUAAAUGCGGUUUUGAUUUUCCUGCAGCAACAUCUGUUGUAUUUAAAAAAAGGAAAAUAAAAGGCAUGCACAAGAACGUGAUUAGAAUAAUCUUACAGGAUCAGUGAGGGGAGUCUUGAUGAACCAAGGUGCCACACUGUUGGUCCUUAUGUUAUCUCUCGCCCACUCACAUGCUAAGUUUUUUGCUAACUGAUUUAGUGCACCUGAGAUACAAUAAGAAAAGCCACACUUUGGUCUAACAUUUAAAAUCACACACCAAAAAUAUUGUAAUCAAAUUUUAGGUGCUUCUCAUCUCAACCUCUUUUGAAACUAGCCACUCCUCUUUUCUCCUCUUACCAAACCCUGAAUUUUCAAACUCCAUAGUUGCCGGCCUCUUGAUUCGACUGGAGGCCGAUGGCAAUCCCUCUCCCCAUUUUUCUAGCCUCUCUUCUUUAUCUUUUCAUAGAUUGUUGCUUAUUUAUUUACGUCUUAGUAUUUUUAUUAAUAAGUGUCUU